This 483-nucleotide ribosomal RNA is filed under the name uncultured crenarchaeote. RNAcentral describes it as "bacterial SSU rRNA". It matches the Rfam family "Archaeal small subunit ribosomal RNA", at positions 1 to 489 of the family's 1478-position model. The record is from RNAcentral. Lineage: Archaea; Thermoproteati; Thermoproteota.
UUUCCCGGUUGAUCCUGCCGGACCUGACUGCUAUCGGAUUGGUACUAAGCCAUGCGAGUCGUUGUAGCAAUACAAGGCGGACGGCUCAGUAACACGUAGUCAACCUAACCUAUGGACGUGGAUAACCUCGGGAAACUGAGAAUAAACCGCGAUAGAUCAUUAUGCCUGGAAUGGCUUAUGGUUCAAACAAUUUAUUGCCGUAGGAUGGGACUGCGGCCUAUCAGCUUGUUGGUGAGGUAAUGGCCCACCAAGGCUAUAACAGGUACGGGCUCUGAGAGGAGAAGCCCGGAGAUGGGUACUGAGACACGGACCCAGGCCCUAUGGGGCGCAGCAGGCGAGAAACCUUAGCAAUGUGCGAAAGCACGACUAGGUUAAUCCGAGUGAUUUCUGUUGAAGAAAUCUUUUGUCAGUCGUAAAACCACAGACGAAUAAGGGGUGGGCAAGUCUGGUGUCAGCCGCCGCGGUAAUACCAGCACCUCGAGU